Molecule: ribosomal RNA, 531 nt
Filed under: uncultured bacterium
Lineage: Bacteria
Description: bacterial SSU rRNA
Rfam family: Bacterial small subunit ribosomal RNA
Source: RNAcentral
AGAGUUUGAUCAUGGCUCAGGACGAACGCUGACGGUGUGCUUUAGGCAUGCAAGUCGAACGAGAAAGCCCUUCGGGGUGAGUAGAGUGGCGAACGGGUGAGUAACACGUGGGCAACCUGCCCCUCGCAGGGGGAUAACCGGAGGAAACUCCGGCUAAUACCCCGUAAGCUUUCAGGGUCGCAUGGCUCUGUAAGGAAAGGUAGCUUCGGCCAUCCGGCGAGGGAUGGGCCCGCGGUGCAUUAGCUAGUUGGUGGGGUAAUGGCCCACCAAGGCAACGAUGCGUAGCUGGUCUGAGAGGAUGAUCAGCCACACUGGGACUGAGACACGGCCCAGACUCCUACGGGAGGCAGCAGCCAGGAAUCUUGGGCAAUGGGCGAAAGCCUGACCCAGCAACACCGUGUGGGCGAUGAAGGCCUUCGGGUCGUAAAGCCCUGUUGAUAGGGACGAAGGGCGAAGGGUUAAUAGCCCCUAGCCUGACGGUACCUUUCGAGGAAGCCCCGGCUAACUACGUGCCAGCAGCGGCGGUAAUUC